Molecule: ribosomal RNA, 226 nt
Filed under: uncultured bacterium
Lineage: Bacteria
Description: partial 16S ribosomal RNA
Rfam family: Bacterial small subunit ribosomal RNA
Source: RNAcentral
GAUCCUGGCUCAGGAUGAACGCUAGCUACAGGCUUAACACAUGCAAGUCGAGGGGCAGCAUGGUCUUAGCUUGCUAAGGCCGAUGGCGACCGGCGCACGGGUGAGUAACACGUAUCCAACCUGCCGUCUACUCUUGGACAGCCCUCUGAAAGGAAGAUUAAUACAAGAUGGCAUCAUGAGUCCGCAUGUUCACAUGAUUAAAGUAUUCGGUAGACGAGUGGGAGUG